GUAGGUGGCAAGCGUUGUCCGGAAUUAUUGGGCGUAAAGCGCGCGCAGGCGGUUCUUUAAGUCUGAUGUGAAAGCCCACGGCUCAACCGUGGAGGGUCAUUGGAAACUGGAGAACUUGAGUACAGAAGAGGAAAGCGGAAUUCCACGUGUAGCGGUGAAAUGCGUAGAGAUGUGGAGGAACACCAGUGGCGAAGGCGGCUUUCUGGUCUGUAACUGACGCUGAGGCGCGAAAGCGUGGGGAGCAAACAGGGAUUAGAUACCCUGGUAGUCCACGCCGUAAACGAUGAGUGCUAAGUGUUAGGGGGUUUCCGCCCCCUUAGUGCUGCAGCUAACGCAUUAAGCACUCCGCCUGGGGAGCACGGCCGCAAGGCUG
This 373-nucleotide ribosomal RNA is filed under the name uncultured organism. RNAcentral's name for it is "partial 16S ribosomal RNA". It matches the Rfam family "Bacterial small subunit ribosomal RNA", at positions 527 to 896 of the family's 1533-position model. The record is from RNAcentral.